Molecule: long non-coding RNA, 377 nt
Organism: Motacilla alba alba
Lineage: Eukaryota; Metazoa; Chordata; Aves; Passeriformes; Motacillidae
Exons: 3
Source: RefSeq, a predicted model, not a curated record
GGGGACUCCCGAAUUGUCCUUCAGGGCGCUGGAAAGAAAUGCACUCACACGGAUCCAGGACGUGGGCACAAAGCCCCAGCCUUCCUGCGUGUCCAUGAAACCAAUCGGAUGCAGCUCAGGGGAGAGCAGCUGUGCACUGAAAAUGCCAUGCAAGAGGAGAUGGGAGAGGACGACAGAGCAGAGCGAACUUGGAUAUGUUUGAAUACUAAAGUAUGGAGACGUAAUUGUCUGAGAGUAUUUGAUUGAAGAUGGAAGAAAAUUUGAGGUCAUCUGGGUGGACAGAGGACAAGUAAGAACAGAAAAGGAAGAGGAGAGCAAGAGAUGAAUCUUGAGCAUGGGCCGAUCUCACACAGCCCGCUGACCCGGACGUCCCCGGA